ACACUCCUACGGGAGGCAGCAGUGGGGAAUAUUGCACAAUGGGCGCAAGCCUGAUGCAGCCAUGCCGCGUGUAUGAAGAAGGCCUUCGGGUUGUAAAGUACUUUCAGCGGGGAGGAAGGCGAUAAGGUUAAUAACCUUGUCGAUUGACGUUACCCGCAGAAGAAGCACCGGCUAACUCCGUGCCAGCAGCCGCGGUAAUACGGAGGGUGCAAGCGUUAAUCGGAAUUACUGGGCGUAAAGCGCACGCAGGCGGUCUGUCAAGUCGGAUGUGAAAUCCCCGGGCUCAACCUGGGAACUGCAUUCGAAACUGGCAGGCUAGAGUCUUGUAGAGGGGGGUAGAAUUCCAGGUGUAGCGGUGAAAUGCGUAGAGAGCUGGAGGAAUACCGGUGGCGAAGGCGGCCCCCCGGACAAAGACUGACGCUCAGGUGCGAAAGCGUGGGGAGCAAACAGGAUUAGAAACCCGGGGAGUCCC
RNAcentral lists this ribosomal RNA (472 nucleotides) under uncultured organism. Its description in RNAcentral is "partial 16S ribosomal RNA". It matches the Rfam family "Bacterial small subunit ribosomal RNA", at positions 333 to 797 of the family's 1533-position model. The record is from RNAcentral.